Molecule: ribosomal RNA, 491 nt
Filed under: uncultured bacterium
Lineage: Bacteria
Description: partial 16S ribosomal RNA
Rfam family: Bacterial small subunit ribosomal RNA
Source: RNAcentral
GAUGAACGCUAGCGAUAGGCUUAACACAUGCAAGUCGAGGGAUAACGUGUUGGAAGCUUGCUUCCGAUGACGACGACCGGCGGAUGGGUGCGUAACGCGUAUGCAACUUGCCUCACAGUGGAGAAUAACCCGGAGAAAUCCGGACUAAUACUCCAUACACUCUUAAGUACGCCUGUACAUGAGAGGAAAGAUUUAUCGCUGUGAGAUAGGCAUGCGUCCUAUUAGGUAGUUGGUGAGGUAACGGCUCACCAAGCCGACGAUAGGUAGGGGUGCUGAGAGGCAGAUCCCCCACAUUGGGACUGAGACACGGCCCAAACUCCUACGGGAGGCAGCAGUGAGGAAUAUUGGUCAAUGGAGGAAACUCUGAACCAGCCAAGUCGCGUGAAGGAAGAAUGUCCUAAGGAUUGUAAACUUCUUUAGCGAGCGAGUAAGGACUUCCACGUGAUGGGAGUUUGAAAGUAGCUCGAGAAUAAGUAUCGGCUAACUCCGUG